ACGAGAGCUGGAGAGCAGGAAGUCUUGGGAAGAGCGAAGGGGGCAGUUUGGGUGAUAUUUUGAGAGGAGGUAGGUGAUGUAGGUUGCGGUGGAGUUGUAGAUGGCUUUGUAGGUUAUUGUUAGCAUUUAGAAUUUUAUGCGUUGGGAAAGUCUGAGCCAGUGGAGCGAUUGGCAGAGGGGGGAAGCAGAGGAGGA
Nanorana parkeri is the source of this 195-nucleotide long non-coding RNA. RefSeq lists it as uncharacterized. Lineage: Eukaryota; Metazoa; Chordata; Amphibia; Anura; Dicroglossidae. The record is from RefSeq and is a predicted model, not a curated record. The transcript has 3 exons.